This is a non-coding RNA of Misgurnus anguillicaudatus (oriental weatherfish), 1448 nucleotides long. The record is from RefSeq and is a predicted model, not a curated record. NCBI's taxonomy places the organism in Eukaryota, Metazoa, Chordata, Actinopteri, Cypriniformes, Cobitidae.
GCACCCAGUGCCAGCUCUUCUGCACCCAGUGCCAGCUCUUCUGCACCCAGUGCCAGCUCUUCACUGCAAAUGAUGAAAUAUAAGUGUUUUGCAGCCAAAGCCAGCUCCUCUGCAGCCAAAUCCACCUCCUCACUGCAAAUGAUGAUAUACUGUAUAAGUAUUCUACAGCCAAAGCCGGCCGCUCUGAGUCCAUGACCUAUUCAACAGAAGUAUUUUCUGUCAAAAUUUUGAAAAGAAGAUGCUUAGAUCGCUUAAGACUUCAUUUAUAGCCCAGAAACGCCAAAAAACAGAAGAAAAUUAGAUUUUGAAUGAUAAAUAGCCUUUUGAGUUGCACUAAGAUUGUUAUACAGUACAGUAUUACGCUACAAUAGUUUUCUAACAUAUGUGCAUUUAUUGGUUUGAUGCACUUUUGUGUUUUUUAUGUUCUCUAAUUGAUACAAAUGCCUAUUUAAGUUAGCAAAUUUUUCUGUUUUUGUAAAAGCACCUAAGAAUGUUUGUACAUUUCAGAGUGAGCAAUGUUGAGUGCACUUUAUGUACAUCAUACAGUCACUGGUGAAGAUGCUGAAAAGCAAAGAUGGUGUAUCUAAACUUUUUAACUGGGUUAUUUUUAUUGUGUUGUGAACUUUCUGUACAAAUUUUUCAAGUGAAAUAACUUGUUAGGGCAGGGAUAAAUGAAAAAAGUAUAUAUAUAUAUGAUUAAAACUGUAGGAUUAAAACUGUAUUCUGCAGAGAUAUACAAUAAAGUUCAUAUAUACAGUAGAAGUCUCAAAUUCACAAGGCCACAAUUUAUUCACAUGAACACAGAUUAUUGGGAUUUAGUGACAAAAGAAAUACAAUGUUAUUUCUAUGCUUCAAAAGCAUUUCCUUAUUUAUUUAUUGAAUGUUUCAUUGCAAUAAAUAAACAUUGAACUAUAGACCCCUUCAAGGUUUGUAAACAUUGAAUGACUAUCGGGUUCGUGCGGAGCAUGGGGUCAAACUGUUCAUAAAAUUUCGGCUUUCUGGUUUAAUCUAACAGGGCUGAAAAAUGAUGAGUUACCUGAAAUGAAGUGAGCACCACAAAUACAAGCCUCUUUGAUGUUUGCAUUGUCCCAUUCUGCACGUUUAAUUGCAGUUUUUUUUUUUUUUUUGAGAUUCUGCAGGAAUCCCGAAAAACUUAACGGCAGACCUGGUGCGAUUUUCAAAGCCCACGACGCAAGUAGGCAUUUUUGACGAUACCAAAUAAUACGCAACUCAAUCUGCUGUAAUGACUUUUCUGACCCCGACAUGCGCAGUGGGAACCGCCUGUGACAUGAACUGUGAAGGGGUCUAUAAGUUCUUGAAAGUUCAAGAUCUUAAAAACCACCAAAAAAACAACAACAUAAUAAAAAGUAUGCUUAAAAUGUGAUCUCAUUUUGGAAAAUCUUACACAACCCAAAGUUUCCCAACCUACACUAUUAUUUGACCGAUAC